RNAcentral lists this ribosomal RNA (769 nucleotides) under uncultured Rhodospirillales bacterium. Its description in RNAcentral is "bacterial SSU rRNA". It matches the Rfam family "Bacterial small subunit ribosomal RNA", at positions 56 to 861 of the family's 1533-position model. Lineage: Bacteria; Pseudomonadati; Pseudomonadota; Alphaproteobacteria; Rhodospirillales. The record is from RNAcentral.
UGCAAGUCGCACGGUAUGGGGGCAACUCUGUGCAGUGGCGGACGGGUGAGUAACGCGUAGGAAUCUAUCCUUGGAUGGGGGACAACCGUGGGAAACUACGGCUAAUACCGCAUGAUGCCUGAGGGCCAAAGCUCGCAAGAGCGCCUGAUGAGGAGCCUGCGUCCGAUUAGCUAGUUGGUGGGGUAACGGCCUACCAAGGCUACGAUCGGUAGCUGGUCUGAGAGAAUGAUCAGCCACACUGGGACUGAGACACGGCCCAGACUCCUAUGGGAGGCAGCAGUGGGGAAUAUUGGACAAUGGGCGCAAGCCUGAUCCAGCAAUGCCGCGUGUGUGAAGAAGGUCUUCGGAUUGUAAAGCACUUUCGGCGGGGACGAUGAUGACGGUACCCGCAGAAGAAGCCCCGGCUAACUUCGUGCCGGCAGCCGCGGUAAUACGAAGGGGGCUAGCGUUGCUCGGAAUGACUGGGCGUAAAGGGCGCGUAGGCGGAUGACAUAGUCGGGCGUGAAAUUCCUGGGCUCAACCUGGGGACUGCGUUCGAGACGUGUUGUCUUGAGUUCGGAAGAGGGUCGUGGAAUUCCCAGUGUAGAGGUGAAAUUCGUAGAUAUUGGGAAGAACACCGGUGGCGAAGGCGGCGACCUGGUCCGAUACUGACGCUGAGGCGCGAAAGCGUGGGGAGCAAACAGGAUUAGAUACCCUGGUAGUCCACGCUGUAAACGAUGUGCGCUGGAUGUUGGGUGACCUAGUCACUCAGUGUCGUAGCUAACGCGAU